UGAGCAAUCUGCCCUUCUCAUCGGAAUAAGCGUUGGAAACGACGUCUAAUGCCGAAUACGACCUCCUUUCGCAUGAUCGGAGGUGGAAAGCUCCGGCGGAGAAGGAUGAGCUCGCGGCCUAUCAGCUAGUUGGUGUGGGUAAUGGCCCACCAAGGCGA
RNAcentral lists this ribosomal RNA (158 nucleotides) under uncultured bacterium. Its description in RNAcentral is "partial 16S ribosomal RNA". It matches the Rfam family "Bacterial small subunit ribosomal RNA", at positions 118 to 276 of the family's 1533-position model. The record is from RNAcentral.